GACGAACGCUGGCGGCGUGCUUAACACAUGCAAGUCGAACGGAAAGGCCCUGCUUUUGUGGGGUGCCCGAGUGGCGAACGGGUGCGUAACACGUGUGUAACCUGCCCUUGACUUUGGGAUAACUUCAGGAAACUGGGGCUAAUAUCGGAUAGGAGCUCCUGCUGCAUGGUGGGGGUUGGAAAGUUUCGGCGGUUGGGGAUGGAUUCGCGGCUUACCAGCUUGUUGGUGGGGUAGUGGCAUACCAAGGCAUUGACGGGUAGCCCGCCUGGGAGGGUGACCGGCGACAUGGGGACUGAGAGACGGACCAGACUCCUACGGGAGACAACAGGGGGAAGUAUUGUACAAUGGUCGGGAGCCUGAGGCAGCAACGCCGCGGGCGUGAUGACGGCCUGCGGGGUGAGAACCGCUUUCGCCUGAGACGAAGCGUGAGUGACGGUAAUGAGUAAAGAAGCACCGGCUAACUACGUG
Molecule: ribosomal RNA, 468 nt
Filed under: uncultured bacterium
Lineage: Bacteria
Description: partial 16S ribosomal RNA
Rfam family: Bacterial small subunit ribosomal RNA
Source: RNAcentral